This 434-nucleotide unclassified non-coding RNA is filed under the name Hevea brasiliensis (rubber tree). Lineage: Eukaryota; Viridiplantae; Streptophyta; Magnoliopsida; Malpighiales; Euphorbiaceae. The record is from RNAcentral.
AAAAACCCUAGUCCUGAAUAAUUUCUCUUGUUCUCUAUGGACUUUGAUUUUUUCCUUUUCUCUUCGAAGUUUAAUCUGUUCUAAGCUUUUCUACCUAAUUUCGCCUGUUUUGCCACUUUUUUUUUGCUUGAUUAAGGAUUUCUAGGUCUGCUGCAGAGGUUAUAGCUUGGGGCUAAUCAUUACUAGGAUAAAUUACAUGUUAAAUUUGAUUCCCACAUUUGCCUUCAUGAAUUAUAUAUGAUCUGGGCUUGCUUUGCUUUUUUUUUUUUCUUCUCAGUUUCUUCAUUUCAUGUCUGGUUGACCGGCGUGCUGAUUCUGAUCUUUGUGUGUUUCUGGGCUUGUUUUUGUUUAUAAUUUUUCCCUUUUUUCGGUUAAAUUAUGAAGCCCAAGCUGUAACAGUAGAUCCGUGCUCUCCGUUGUCCCGUUUCAGCCCG